GACGAACGCUGGCGGCGUGCUUAACACAUGCAAGUCGAACGGAAAGGCCCUGCUUUUGUGGGGUGCUCGAGUGGCGAACGGGUGAGUAACACGUGAGUAACCUGCCCUUGACUUUGGGAUAACUUCAGGAAACUGGGGCUAAUACCGGAUAGGAGCUCCUGCUGCAUGGUGGGGGUUGGAAAGUUUCGGCUGUUGGGGAUGGACUCGCGGCUUAUCAGCUUGUUGGUGGGGUAGUGGCUUACAAAGGGUUUGACGGGUAGCCGGCCUGGGAGGGUGACCGGCCACAUUGGGACUGAGAUACGGACCAGACUGCAACGGGAGGCAGCAGGGGGGAAUAUUGCACAAUGGGCGGAAGCCUGAUGCAGAAACGCCGCGUGCGGGAUGACGGCCUUCGGGUUGUAAACCGCUUUCGCCUGUGACGAAGCGUGAGUGACGGUAAUGGGUAAAGAAGCACCGGCUAACUACGUG
RNAcentral lists this ribosomal RNA (468 nucleotides) under uncultured bacterium. RNAcentral describes it as "partial 16S ribosomal RNA". It matches the Rfam family "Bacterial small subunit ribosomal RNA", at positions 28 to 507 of the family's 1533-position model. The record is from RNAcentral.